AUAUAUAUUGAAAUUAUAUAUUUUUUUAGUUUCACCGGUUCGGUUCGGCCUGGUUUGGUUUUUGAAGACAUGGAACCGGAUCCGGAACCGGUCCAAACCGGUCCGGUUCGGUUUUUGACCGGUUUUUGACUUUUUGGUCAACUCAAUUUUUUUUCGAUUUGGUUCGGUACGGUUCGGCUCGGAUUUCCGGUUCGCCGGUUUGAGUGCCCACCCCUAGAUCUUAUGUUGAAUUUGAAUAUUGAAUUAAUAGGGGUUUCAUUCCUUUCAAUUUAAUUUA
Molecule: long non-coding RNA, 277 nt
Filed under: Prunus persica (peach)
Lineage: Eukaryota; Viridiplantae; Streptophyta; Magnoliopsida; Rosales; Rosaceae
Description: long non-coding RNA (PPER_LNC006552)
Source: RNAcentral